RNAcentral lists this ribosomal RNA (481 nucleotides) under Mycobacterium gordonae. Its description in RNAcentral is "bacterial SSU rRNA". It matches the Rfam family "Bacterial small subunit ribosomal RNA", at positions 40 to 526 of the family's 1533-position model. Lineage: Bacteria; Bacillati; Actinomycetota; Actinomycetes; Mycobacteriales; Mycobacteriaceae. The record is from RNAcentral.
CGGCGUGCUUAACACAUGCAAGUCGAACGGUAAGGCCCUUCGGGGUACACGAGUGGCGAACGGGUGAGUAACACGUGGGUAAUCUGCCCUGCACAUCGGGAUAAGCCUGGGAAACUGGGUCUAAUACCGAAUAGGACCACAGAACACAUGUCCUGUGGUGGAAAGCUUUUGCGGUGUGGGAUGGGCCCGCGGCCUAUCAGCUUGUUGGUGGGGUGAUGGCCUACCAAGGCGACGACGGGUAGCCGGCCUGAGAGGGUGUCCGGCCACACUGGGACUGAGAUACGGCCCAGACUCCUACGGGAGGCAGCAGUGGGGAAUAUUGCACAAUGGGCGAAAGCCUGAUGCAGCGACGCCGCGUGGGGGAUGACGGCCUUCGGGUUGUAAACCUCUUUCACCAUCGACGAAGGUCCGGGUUUUCUCGGGCUGACGGUAGGUGGAGAAGAAGCACCGGCCAACUACGUGCCAGCAGCCGCGGUAAUAC